GACGAACGCUGGCGGCGUGCUUAACACAUGCAAGUCGAGCGAUGAAGCACCUUCGGGUGUGAAUUAGCGGCGAACGGGUGAGGAACACGUGAGAAAUCUGCCUUCAACUCUGGGAUAACUCCGUGAAAACGGGGCUAAUACCGGAUAUGAAACCUGCGGGCAUCCGCGGGUUUGGAAAGUUUUUCGGUUGAAGAUGAUCUCGCGGCCUAUCAGCUUGUUGGUGAGGUAAUGGCUCACCAAGGCGACGACGGGUAGCCGGCCUGAGAGGGCGACCGGCCACACUGGGACUGAGACACGGCCCAGACUCCUACGGGAGGCAGCAGUGGGGAAUAUUGGGCAAUGGAGGAAACUCUGACCCAGCGACGCCGCGUGCGGGAUGAAGGCCUUCGGGUUGUAAACCGCUUUCAGCAGGGAAGAAGCGAAAGUGACGGUACCUGCAGAAGAAGCACCGGCUAACUAUGUGCCAGCAGCCGCAGUAA
RNAcentral lists this ribosomal RNA (479 nucleotides) under uncultured bacterium. RNAcentral's name for it is "partial 16S ribosomal RNA". It matches the Rfam family "Bacterial small subunit ribosomal RNA", at positions 28 to 523 of the family's 1533-position model. The record is from RNAcentral.